UGCGUAGGCGGUAGUGGUAAGUCAGAUGUAGAAAUCCCAGGGCUCGACCCUGGAACUGCAUCCGAUACUGCUGUACUUGAGGACCGGAGAGGAGACUGGAGUUCUCGGUGUAGCAGCGAAAUGCGUAGAUAUCGAGAGGAACACUCGUGGCGAAAGCGAGUCUCUGGACGGAUCCCGACGCUGAGGCACGAAGGCCAGGGUAGCGAAAG
This 209-nucleotide ribosomal RNA is filed under the name uncultured bacterium. Its description in RNAcentral is "partial 16S ribosomal RNA". It matches the Rfam family "Bacterial small subunit ribosomal RNA", at positions 568 to 774 of the family's 1533-position model. The record is from RNAcentral.